GGACAGCCCGUCGAAAGGCGGAUUAAUACCGUAUGUUGUCAUGUUGAUGCAUAUUUUCAUGACCAAAGGCUUCGGCCGGUAAAGGAUGGGGAUGCGUCUGAUUAGCUUGCCGGCGGGGUAACGGCCCACCGGGGCGACGAUCAGUAGGGGUUCUGAGAGGAAGGUCCCCCACAUUGGAACUGAGACACGGUCCAAACUCCUACGGGAGGCAGCAGUGAGGAAUAUUGGUCAAUGGGCGCGAGCCUGAACCAGCCAAGUAGCGUGCAGGACGACGGCCCUAUGGGUUGUAAACUGCUUUUAUACGGGGAUAAAGUAUGCCACGUGUGGUUUAUUGCAGGUACCGUAUGAAUAAGGACCGGCUAAUUCCGUGCCAGCAGCCGCGGUAAUACGGAAGGUCCGGGCGUUAUCCGGAUUUAUUGGGUUUAAAGGGAGCGUAGGCCGGGUUUUAAGCGUGCCGUGAAAUGUCGGGGCUCAACCUUGACACUGCGGCGCGAACUGGAGUCCUUGAGUGCGCGGAACGUAUGCGGAAUUCGUGGUGUAGCGGUGAAAUGCUUAGAUAUCACGAAGAACCCCGAUUGCGAAGGCAGCAUACGGCAGCGCUACUGACGCUGAAGCUCGAAGGCGCGGGUAUCGAACAGGAUUAGAUACCCUGGUAGUCCGCGCGGUAAACGAUGAAUGCCCGCUGUUGGCGAUAUAUUGUCAGC
This 704-nucleotide ribosomal RNA is filed under the name uncultured bacterium. RNAcentral describes it as "bacterial SSU rRNA". It matches the Rfam family "Bacterial small subunit ribosomal RNA", at positions 141 to 844 of the family's 1533-position model. The record is from RNAcentral.